AAUAGAUACCCAGGUAGUCCACGCCGUAAACGAUGAGUGCUAAGUGUUAGAGGGUUUCCGCCCUUUAGUGCUGCAGCUAACGCAUUAAGCACUCCGCCUGGGGAGUACGGUCGCAAGACUGAAACUCAAAGGAAUUGACGGGGGCCCGCACAAGCGGUGGAGCAUGUGGUUUAAUUCGAAGCAACGCGAAGAACCUUACCAGGUCUUGACAUCCUCUGACAACUCUAGAGAUAGAGUGUUCCCCUUCGGGGGACAGAGUGACAGGUGGUGCAUGGUUGUCGUCAGCUCGUGUCGUGAGAUGUUGGGUUAAGUCCCGCAACGAGCGCAACCCUUGAUCUUAGUUGCCAGCAUUUAGUUGGGCACUCUAAGGUGACUGCCGGUGACAAACCGGAGGAAGGUGGGGAUGACGUCAAAUCAUCAUGCCCCUUAUGACCUGGGCUACACACGUGCUACAAUGGAUGGUACAAAGGGCUGCAAGACCGCGAGGUCAAGCCAAUCCCAUAAAACCAUUCUCAGUUCGGAUUGU
This 526-nucleotide ribosomal RNA is filed under the name uncultured bacterium. RNAcentral describes it as "bacterial SSU rRNA". It matches the Rfam family "Bacterial small subunit ribosomal RNA", at positions 777 to 1301 of the family's 1533-position model. The record is from RNAcentral.